GCCUAACACAUGCAAGUCGAACGGGGCCUCCAACAAUGGAUACUUAGUGGCGAACGGGUGAGUAACGCGUAGACAACCUGCCUCUAAAUUGGGGACAACACCGCGAAAGUGGUGCUAAUACCGAAUGUGGUAUCUUGGUCGCAUGACUGAGAUAAGAAAGGUGGCCUCUGAAUAUGCUACCGAUUAGAGAUGGGUCUGCGUCUGAUUAGCUAGUUGGUGAGGUAAUGGCUCACCAAGGCGACGAUCAGUAGCCGGUCUGAGAGGAUGAACGGCCACACUGGGACUGAGACACGGCCCAGACUCCUACGGGAGGCAGCAGUGGGGAAUCUUCCGCAAUGGACGAAAGUCUGACGGAGCAACGCCGCGUGAGUGAAGAAGGUCUUCGGAUUGUAAAGCUCUGUCGUUUGGGACGAACGUGGGAUGUGUGAAUAAUGCAUUCUAAUGACGGUACCAAAGGAGGAAGCCACGGCUAACUACGUGCCAGCAGCCGCGGUAAUACGUAGGUGGCAAGCGUUGUCCGGAAUUAUUGGGCGUAAAGGGCGUGUAGGUGGAUCUUUAAGUCGUGUGUCUAAGUGCGAGGCUCAACCUCGUAUAGGCGCAGGAAACUGGUUAUCUUGAGUGCAGGAGAGGAAAGUGGAAUUCCCAGUGUAGCGGUGAAAUGCGUAGAUAUUGGGAGGAACACCAGUGGCGAAGGCGACUUUCUGGACUGUGUCUGACACUGAGGCGCGAAAGCCAGGGGAGCGAACGGGAUUAGAUACCCCGGUAGUCCUGGCCGUAAACGAUGGGUACUAGGUGUAGAGGGUAUCGACCCCUUCUGUGCCGCAAGCUAACGCAAUAAGUACCCCGCCUGGGGAGUACG
Molecule: ribosomal RNA, 859 nt
Filed under: uncultured bacterium
Lineage: Bacteria
Description: bacterial SSU rRNA
Rfam family: Bacterial small subunit ribosomal RNA
Source: RNAcentral